UUUGAUUCUGGCUCAGAUUGAACGCUGGCGGGAUGCUUUACACAUGCAAGUCGAACGGCAGCACGGACUUCGGUCUGGUGGCGAGUGGCGAACGGGUGAGUAAUGUAUCGGAACGUGCCUGUGUGAAGGAUAACUACGCGAAAGCGUAGCUAAUACCACAUACGCCCUUCGAAGAAGCAGGGGACCUUCGGGCCACUCGCACUAUUGAAGCAGCCGAUAUCGGAUUAGCUAGUUGGGUGAGUGCUGGCUGCAAGGCGACGAUCGUAGCUGGUUUGAGAGGACGUCAUGCCACUGGGGACUGAACGGCCAGACUCUACAGGAGGCAGCAGUGGGAAUUUUGGACAAUGGGGAAACCCACAGUCAGCCAUCCCGCGUGUGCGAUGAAGGCCUUCGGGUUGUAAAGCACUUUUGGCAGGAAAGAAACGGCACGGGAUAAUACCCCGUGCAGCUGACGGUACCUGCAGAAUAAGCGCCGGCUAACUACGUGCCAGCAGCGCGAUAUGCGUAGGGUGCAAACGGCAUUAAUCAGGAAUUACUGGGCGUAAAGCGUGCGCAGGCGGUUCGGAAAGAAGAUCGUGAAAUCCCAGAGCUUAACUUUGGAACUGCAUUUUUUUUAACUGCCGAGCUAGAGUGUAUUAAGGGGAGGUGGAAUUCCGUGUAGCAGUGAAAUGCGUAGAUAUGCGGAGGAACACCGAUGGCGAAGGCAGCCUCUGGUUAACACUGACGCUCAUGCACGAAAGCGUGGGGAGCAAACAGGAUUAGAUACCCUGAAGUCCACGCCUAAACGAUGUCAACCUAAGCUGUUGGGGCCUUCGGGCCUUGGUAGCGCAGCUAACGCGUGAAAGUUGACCGCCUGGGGAAGUACGGUCGCAAGAUUAAAACUCAAGGAAUUGACGGGGACCCGCACAAGCGGUGGAUGAUGUGGAUUAAUUCGAUGCAACGCGAAAAACCUUACCUACCCUUGACAUGGAUGGAAUCCCGAAGAAAUUUGGGAGUGCUCGAAGAGAACCAUCACACAGGUGCUGCAUGGCUGUCGUCAGCUCGUGUCGUGAGAUGUUGGGUUAAGUCCACCAACGAGCGCAACCCUUGUCAUUAGUUGCUACGAAAGGGCACUCUAAUGAGACUGCCGGUGACAAACCGGAGGAAGGUGGGGAUGACGUCAAGUCCUCAUGGCCCUUAUGGGUAGGGCUUCACACGUCAUACAAUGGUACAUACAGAGGGCCGCCAACCCGCAGGGGGGAGCUAAUCCCAGAAAGUGUAUCGUAGUCAGAUUGGAGUCUGCAACUCGACUCCAUGAAGUUGGAAUCGCUAGUAAUCGCCGGAUCAGCAUGUCGCGGUGAAUACGUUCCCGGGUCUUGUACCUGCCCGUCACACCAUGGGAGCGGGUUUACCAGAAGUGGGUAGCCUAACCUGCGGAGAGCAUACCACGGUAGGAUUCGUGACUGGGGUGAAAUUAAUAAUAAGGUAAUACGUA
Molecule: ribosomal RNA, 1474 nt
Filed under: uncultured Bordetella sp.
Lineage: Bacteria; Pseudomonadati; Pseudomonadota; Betaproteobacteria; Burkholderiales; Alcaligenaceae
Description: partial 16S-23S ribosomal RNA intergenic spacer
Rfam family: Bacterial small subunit ribosomal RNA
Source: RNAcentral